UGAAGACCUGAAAGGAGAAGAGAAAGAAAUCUCGAAUCAGCAGCCACGUGUGAUAGGUCCCUGAGCUGGUCCCCUGCCUGUGUGGGGGAAAAAAGAGACACUUCUUUGGGGCUUCCAAUCUAGGGCUGCCUCACCCUCCAGGGCCCCGCCCUCCUGGCUCAGCUUGGGAACAAGUUCCUGGAAGUACCUACAUCUUUGCAGUUUUCCGACUUGGAGAAGUGGAUCAGGUCAUCGUUGUACAUGUCCUGGGUGUUGAGCAGGUCACUGUAUUCCUUCUGGCUGAGGUCUUCUGGGUUGAUGCCAUUGGCCCUGAGGAAUUCCUGGUACGCAACACUGAAUGCCUGUCCUAUGGACUGCGCGAUCAGCUGGGCCUAUAGCAGCACAGGGGAAGAUAGAGGUAUUUGUCCGAGUGGUGGAAGUCGGCAGUGGUGGAGAGCUGACUAACACACUCAGCUCAGAAAGCCUGAGGGUCAAACUGCUACUUUGCUUUCCUGGUGCAGCCCUGCUGGGAGUCAGGGGGCAAGAUGCACGUCUGUGAGUCUCAGGAGCUUCUCUUCAAAGAAUUGGACUUCCUGCUUUCCAUCAUCCCGGAAGAGGCUCAUUUUAAGAGAAGACGUACAUUAUGGAGGGGGCCUCAAGGCACAGGCAAGGCUUGUGCGUCACAGAUGAAGUGCCUGAAUGGAGCCGGACACAUGGAAUAACUGUUAAGCCAGACUCAACACUAAGGUUGCUAUCAGUGCAGUGACCUAUGAGGGAGCUGUAAACCAUUCCCUGGGUUGUACAUCCUAAUUCCUAACAAAUCAAUGGUAACUUCAAGUCACAGCUUACUAUAUGUUCUAUGGGCAGCUAAGGAGAGGAUGGCUCUGAGCUUGAGAGAGAAGUGUUUGCUCUCCAAGUGACGUUGUCACAUGAGCGACAGACACUCAGAGGCUGCGCUGGUGCCAUGGGAAGCUGCUUGAUAAGGAAGCAAGAAGAGGGGUGAGGGAACACCACGGAGCACUCUGGGGAGCACCCUGGGGAGCACUCUGGGGAGCACCAAGCAGCUGCAGACUUAAGAUGCUUAAUCUUAUUAUUGAUUCUAGGGACAGGACUUGUGAUGGAGCCCAGGCGCCUUCCUGUCUUAGCCUCCUGAGCACGGGAAUGGCAGCCCUGGCUGUAACGGUGAGUCUUGACUGCUGUGGGUGGAAGCUAGGAGAUGAGCCUUGCAGCGUAGACACGCACUCACGCUUGCUGCCUGUCUGCUUUCUGGCUGCCAAGGGGUAAGUAGCUUGGCUUUUUUCCACCUUCCAGCCAAGAAGCUCUUCUCCACCACAGCCCAGAAACAACACUUAGCUGAGCACGGGCUCUGCAGCUGUGAACUAAAGACAAUCCUUUCUCUCAAAACAGAACACUGGUGCUAGGGGAGGCGCUGUCUUCAUGACCCCUGAUCACAAGGCUCAGCCGCUUUCACAAGCAGUUUGUGGGAAGAGUCUGCAGAUGUGUGUUAGCAUCCCCAGAAUUCUCUCCCCAGGGAUUAAGGGUUACUGAUGGCAAGAGUUUGGAUAAUACACCGUGGACAGUAAAAACUGCUCAUGGCAUUUCAAAUGGAAAUGAGGAAUUUAUUUGGAAACUGGACUAGUGGCCAUUUGUGUGAGAUUUUGUCCAUAUGCCAAGACUUUGUGUUAGGUUCUAUUUAAAUCUAGCAGAGGGAAUUUUAAGACAGCCUCCGUUCAGGCUAUUGCAUGGGCACUGAUGUUGCUCUGGGUUAGAUUUACAGUUAGAAUGGGGAGUAGAGGCAGGGUGGAAAGACAUGAGAACCUUGCAGUUUGCUUUAAAGUCCAAGAAAAGUUUGAGUUAUGGAAGGCAUGGUUUCUAAAAAGUUAAGUUCCCAGCAGAAGAGAAGUACUUCGUUGCAAGAUGCCUUGAAGGCAACUUAGGAACCAGCAGGCUUUUUAUUCAUUGUAAGUUCAGUGAUGUGAGAAUGUAAAUUGACUUGAAAGACUUUCCCUGGAAAGAGAAGACUGCUGGGGUGCUCUGAAUGCAUACAGAUGCCUAGGGAGUUGUUACCAUGGAAAUCAUUUUGUUGUGCUUAGCUGCCCAGACACUCAGAGGCUCCUGUAGCCAUGACCCAAGGAGGUCCAGCUACUGCUUGGGCUGGUGUCGGAUAUUGGUGUUGUCCAUGUGAUACCAGUUUGUGGGGAGCCCUCAAGGUAUGUGAAAAUAUGAGGGUGAAGACAGAUGAAAUGGAGAUGCCAGCAAAGCAGAUGCAAAACCAGGAACUCUGAGCCACUAAAGCCCCAGCCUUCGGAGACAAACCUUGUGGGCUACUGUUGGCCAGGCUGCAGGGGAUGUGGCCCGGAAGGUCACACUCUGCCACCACAUUCCUCCAGAUGCUGGACACAAGGCUACAGGGUUUUGCUAGCUGCUGGGUUUGGGUCUAGCUAUUCAAGUCCUCCCUGUCAUUCGUGUACUCUUCCCUUUUGGAAUGCUGAUGUUUAUCCGCAGUCACUGCACACUGGAAGUGUUUAACUGGCUUUUCACAGGGGCUCACAGUUGAUAGUUUGUCUAGUGUGCCAGGGGAGAUGUGGGGGAGUUAAUAUCCUCACUCCUUUCUUCACUUGGAGAUUAAUUAUGGCUCGAACAGGUACGUCUAGGCGUUACCGUGGGAAGAGGUGCGCUUAUGAAUGAUGGUUAUUCUUGUCUACUUGAUUCUUGAUUGGUCUGAGAGACAGCAAGUAGUUAGGAGAGUGCACGGGUGGGUGCUGGGGAGGGUGUGUGAAGAGAGGAUUGGCAUGUGGCUCUUCUGUUUGUCUCAGUGAGGUGAGCAGUGGGUCUCCCCGUGCUUUUCUGCCCCACGGCCAAACACCCACCAGCUAAGGCCUCUGAAACCACGAGCUGCAGUAAAUCUUGCUUCCUUUCAGAUGGUUUCUCUCAGGCGUGCACCUCCUUCCCUUCUAACCUCUAGGGUACUCCUGUGGCAUUCCACGUCUGACAUCCUCUCCUCCUGACACCUGGUGUCUCUACUGACUGGUUUAUUCCCUCUGAGCAGUUGUGGUUAGAGGUGAGGGACUCACGUUCUCCACUGUCCCCCCCCCCCAUCAUCCUACAUAAGACGGGCUCAAGGAUCCUCUUGUCUCCUCAGAUAAAGACCUCUGGCUGCCUUCUCUUGUCCUUUUUCACUCCAUAUAACCACAUCAGCAUCAGGCUCGAUGGUGCCAGAGGAGAUUCAGUCUUAACUAGUUGAAAUGGGGGGUGGGGGGGGGUGGGGGGAAGGAACUGGUGAAUCCUAACCUUUCGCCUUGCUGGUUCUCUGAGUGUGUUCCACGUGCUGAGGGCACGGGGACUUUUGGAUAGCAUGUGCACAGCCAGCAUUCCUGCUACCCUGGUGUAUCUAUAACUCUAGGUGGCACUAUGGUGGAGUCUCUGGAGUCCUGCAUUUACAGAUUGACUUUGUGUAGCUCAAUCUACUUGUGAAUUAUUGAGACUAGAUGAAAUUGGUUCUCCGUGUACCCAGUUGGCUUCCUCCUUUACCUCCUGAUAAAACUAAUGAAAAUGGCUGGUGACUGUGUUCAAACUAGUUUAAACUAGGAUUCGUUUAAGUUCUUCAGACUACCCAAGUAUGGUUUAAUCAAAUAGUUCAUUUGACUGGCAUCGAGACAGGUUAAUAGAACCUAACAGAGGGCUGCUCUAAUCAAUGGCCUCUAGUUGUCCGUGGAGAGCCAGUGCUGGAACUGCACCUUAAAGGCACUUAGAGCCAAGUCCAUGGCAUAUGAAUAUACUCUCAAGAGAGCAACCUGAAUAGGGUUUAGAUGGAAAGACUUGGGCUUUUAGUUAGGCAGGAAUAAGCCCGCUUGCAACAUUUUAGUCCACUGUCUAAGAGCUGUGGGUUGACACUGCCUGCUCAGGUCCCCUCAGUCACCCAACCACCUCAGACCACGCAGACCCCCUCACCUUGAUCCGGCUUACUGCUUCCUGGGCCUGCAUCAUGCGUACAUUUUUGGAGGGAGUUUUGUCUGAGAGUAGCUGAGUGGAACCAAGGUAAUUGGCAGCAAAAAUAAUUCCAUCGAUCAAGUCUUCAGGGUCGCACGGUCCAGGAACUGUAACACAGAGAGCCAAGGUAGUGAAUGAUGUCAUGGGGGGAGUACCACAGCCAACCCCCAUGUUCACCGUUUACAUGUGUGGUCUAUCUACCUGCUAGUCUAAGACAUCUUGGAACCAUUUACUAUGAGAAGUGAUGGAUUUAUUUUAAAUAUGAAUCAGAGCCCAAUCGUAAAAAAAUGUCUCUUAGCCAGACCUGUAAUCCUAGUUGCUUGGGAGGCUCAGACAGUCUGUUCAAGGUUUGUCUGUUUGGCACUUGGCUGUCCUGUGAGGCCUUAGGUGAAACGAUGCCUCACUCCCCCAACGUAGUACUGGGGAUGGAUUGGAGGGUGAGCUCUCUGGCAACAAGGGCUAUGUCAUGCUCAUCUUUUACUUCCAUGCCUCUCACGUGUGUCUAUAAACGGUGUGUGUUUGCUUGGGUGAAUGGCUUAGAGGAACAGAAAGCGGUAAUAACGGAAAACACCAUUUCCUGACGCUCCCUAUUUCCUUUUUACCCACUCAAACUUUACGCCUCUGUUUGGACUCUGAUGGAGGAAUCACAUUUUACACAUGAAGAAAAUGGGGGAGUUAAUCUAAACGUGUCUGUCGAUCACCUACCUGGACAGGAAAAUCCCCCUCAGAAAAGCUCCAUGAAACUCUGUGAUACACGGUGCACCAGGAGCUCCGAGCAAGGACACAAGCUUUCCUGCCUUGACCCUCCCUCCACGCGCUCUCAUUCCCCAUCCGGAGAUUCUCCCACACUCUGGAUGGCAGAGCUGCUUGCAGGCCGACAACUGCAGAGUUUGUUUGCCUUCUUGGCCUCGGACUUAGAAAGCAUGUAUUUCUCUCUUUCUCUUAUCCAUCUCCCUCUUCCUGGCAGCCGCUGAGAGCUCCAGUUUGCCUGUUUUUUUGUUUUUUGUUUUUUUUUUCUCUUAAAUUUCAAUAACAUUGUCCUUGAGUUUCCCUACUAGCUCUUUAAAAAAAAAAAGUUACCUGUGAAAUAAAGAAGCUGCAAACGGGACCCCAUGUCCCCUACAUAUAAAUGUGUCCCUACAGUCAUACACUGGCAACUUAACCCCCAACUUCCCAGUGUUAACGGGAACCUUCAUGAGAUGACCAGUUCUUUGAGAUGUUUCGGCUGCUGCUGGAUACAGGUUAACUAUGAAAAGGUGGUGUCCUAGUUAGCUUUAGCUGUCUGUCAGCUUCCACAGCCCAGUGUCAUCCGAGGGAGUACCAACUGGGGGACCGCCUCAGUCAGACUGGCCCGUGGGGUAUUUUCCUGAUUGCUGAUUGAUGCAGGACCGCCUAUCCGACUUUGGACUGUACCAGCCCUGGACAGAGGCUUCUGGGCUGCUUAAGACAGACAGAUGGACAGAAGUGAGCAGCAUUUCUCUGUCUUCAGCUCCAGUUUCAGCCCUGACUUCCCUCAGUGAUGGAGGGGGACCUGGAAGCAUUUUAUAAAAUAACCUCCUUACUGCACAAGUUACUUGGACCAUGCUGUUUAUCAUAGCAACAGAAAUCAAACCUAAAUAGACAAGAGUUCAAACUCCUUUUCCUCCACGCAUGCUCGCCUUCCGCCAUGCUAUCAAAUAGCACACAGGCCCUUGGCAGGUGUCAUGUGGGAAAGCAAAUGAAAAUGAGUUUUAUGUAACAGAGUUAAGCUCUGAGCACACACAUGGUUAUUAGUAUCCGAGGCUCUACACUCAUUCUGGGUGAGGUUCUGUCACCCUGGCUGGCAAACCAGCCUCCUCAAGCACGGUAGCGGACACUGGAGGCACUGGUAUUCACAGGAGCAUCUUGUGCUUAUACUGUCAGGGAACACUUGAACAUUCAAUCCUUCCAGCCUGAACAGCAUCCUGCCUCUACUACUGUUGUAUGUGGAUUUCAAAGGUGUAGGUGUCCAGGCUGAGCCAUGGCACAUGCCUCCAUUCUUCAGUCUGUUCUGAGACUCCGUGGGACUUCUAACUCCCAGCGUUUCCAGAUGGCACUCCCACUUAUGCUUAGCAUUCUGUGUUUACCUGCCUUUAUCCCCUUCUCCUAAUUUGUACACACUGCUACCUUACGUGGCUGAGUUGCUUUCAAUCAACCACAUUCCACUGUAGAAUUAGCUUUGAAAAGCCCCGGAUAUGAGUUUCUUCCCAAUGUAUGUUCACGCUUCUGAAAUUUGAAGCCGAUUAAGAAGUACAUGAUUAUCCACUCUAUAGUAUAACUCAAACAAUAUUAUCAGUGCACACUUGUAUUUCCUUAAUGUGGUGAAGAAGUGAGGUUAGCAUAGGCACCGAAUGAGCAUAAUUAUGUCAUUAAGAUGAGAACAGCUUGGCUUAAUGAGGUGUUUUAUAUACACAUUCAUAAUGGAUUCAAUUAAUACUGCUGGAAUACGGAAAGAACUGGCAGCUCACCUUCUCAAAGCCUCUCUGUUCUCUUCCCACUGAAGACACCCUCCAUUCCCAUCUCUAAGCCCAUAAACCUGUGUGGAAGCUCCCGGGACCCUAGGGAGCUGUGCUUGGCAGCAUUCGGCUCAGAAGGUGAUUUUUAUCAUGGGAACAACACACAACAAUUUUUUUGUUGUUGUUGGAUACUAUCACCAGAGCCCUAAGCUUUUAAAGUCAUGUUCCUAAGGUAAAAGACUAACUAGUUAAUUAUAAACCACUUAUUAGUUAAGAGUAAACCAACCCAUCACCCGACAAAGCUGCAUGUGUCAAUCAAUGGGUUAUCUCUAGCCAAAUAGCUCACUUGACGUAUGUGAAAUGCAUUACACUGGACAAAUGAGAAAGCCUUUCGUUCGUUCACUGCCCUUUCAAGUCCAUGCAUUUCUUGAUGGAUGCCUCAUGACUUCCUGCCUAGGCUCUGAUAGCAAAAUCCAGGCACUUUGAACUUAUAUUCAGAAUUGCAACUGAGGUGAGUGUAACCAAACCAGGUGUGGUGGCACACUCCUCUAAUGCUGGUACUGGAGAAGCUGAGACAGAAAGGACAAAGGAUUUGAGAACGCCCUGGACUAUAUGGUGAGUUCAAAGCUGGCCUGAACUGUAUAGAAAAACCUGUUUUAAACCAAAACAAAGGAGGGAGAUACAGCUGCACUCACAAUGGAGAACAGCCUAUCUGCUAGAAAUGGUAAGAGUUACCGUUUUCAAAGGGCUUACAGUAUGCUCGGCCCGUGCAGGGGCACAUUAUACCUGCCACCUCAUUUUCCAGCCAACUGGUUAUUUGUGCACAAGGCACUAAUAGCUAUUGAUAUGCACUAGCUCUCAGCAGUGAAAGACACCACAGCCUGUAAUGAGGGGUGGGGUGGGGGUGGGGGGGGGACGGGGGUGGAUGCAGGGUCUAGAUGAAUUCAUCUAUUAGAAUGCAGAGAAUAAAAGGCAGCACUGGAGAGAUACAGCAACAAGCACACCUUCCCCAGGUCCUGACUAAGUACAAAAUGCCCCCUGCUCUCUUGGCCACCACUCAAUUUCAAGCUCGUUUUCCUCCAUCCUAAGUAAUGCCUUCUCCUCACCUAUUCCCUACUCUCAAGGGAAAUGCAGAGCAUAGCCUACAGUCUGGCUGGGCCAGGAGCCCAGCACUGAAGUCAGUCAGCACGCCCUGGUGCAGCCCAAGGGGCACAUACCUCUUCUUCAUGACUUUCAAACUGGUACAUCCAGAAGUUCUCCAUCUUCCUGGGUACUGUUUGGGCAGCGGGGUGCGAGCCCUAGUGUAUCCACUUGUGAGCUGCUAUGUGCGCUCCUGAUCUCAGUGCCGCUUGCGGGGUGUGGGGGGGGGGCACUUUUGGUGGUGUCAGGUGCCCUUGUCAAUAAUGCAACUGGUAAUAGGAGAUGUGACCACCUCCAGGGUGUCUGACCCUCCAUAUUAACCCUUCAGUGUCUGGUGGCCAGGACUGACUCGAGUCAUUGGCGCAGCGGCGUCAGCUGAUAUUUCCGAGAGGAAUCUAGCCCACCCUUGCUGUCAGCAGCACCUACUAUUUCUGGGGGAAAAUAAACCCAGAGCAGAGGUGCUACCAGAGACUUUCACACACCCCAGACUCUGCUAUGUUUAUAGAACCUGUGAAGAAGCAUUCAGCUCUGGUGAAGGGAGGGGAGGGAGGUGGCUAGAACUGUUCCUUUCAGGCUUUGAUCAGAACAUACCUGGGUGUGUGGGGAGAACUUAGGGAAUUCUGGUCAGCCCCUGGCAGGGCCCCAGCGGCACAGGCUGCUGGGAGUAUACCACCCCGAACUGACUGUAUGCUCUGUCACUGUGCUCUGACAACUGUGUGCCACAAGGGAGAGGGGGCUCUGACAGACCAGAAAAGAGCUGCCUCAUGGUUAGCAUGGCUUGGACCAAACAAACUGAGGACCCCAAAUUAGGCUGAAAACCCAACUGUAUCUAUCUGUAGGGCCAGUUCCAACAAGAGGAAGGACAGGGUACAUCUGGGUAGAACUGAUGUGGGGGAAACAGAGGGAAGCUGAGGAGGGGCCUGGGUGCACCGAGGCCCUCAAGGAGCAUCAACUUCCUAGUCACCAAGCCCUCUGUCAGACCUGUUAGCUGGGCUCCCUCUGAGGCUACCUACCUAGUCAAUGAGCUGUGGACCGCACUAAAUGGUAGAACAAACCACACAGGAUCUAAAGCAAUCUACGGCUGGAAAACCAGCCAUUCUUACUGCCAGUUUCCCAUGU
Molecule: long non-coding RNA, 8702 nt
Organism: Mus musculus (house mouse)
Lineage: Eukaryota; Metazoa; Chordata; Mammalia; Rodentia; Muridae
Product: predicted gene, 34076
Exons: 5
Source: RefSeq, a predicted model, not a curated record